AAGUCGUAACAAGGUAUCCGUAGGUGAACCUGCGGAUGGAUCAUUACUAAAAUAUCCAUCCUACGUAAUGUGAACCAUAGUCAGUUUUGGUGUGCUGUGAUGGCCAUCAGUACUGACUACACUGUAUGUAAAUUUAAACUGACUGAGAGUACUAUACUUAUAGUAACCAAUGAGAACUUUUAGCAACGGAUCUCUUGGCUCUC
Molecule: unclassified non-coding RNA, 203 nt
Filed under: fungal sp.
Lineage: Eukaryota; Fungi
Description: partial internal transcribed spacer region
Rfam family: Eukaryotic small subunit ribosomal RNA (bases 1-46)
Source: RNAcentral